RNAcentral lists this ribosomal RNA (433 nucleotides) under uncultured bacterium. RNAcentral describes it as "partial 16S ribosomal RNA". It matches the Rfam family "Bacterial small subunit ribosomal RNA", at positions 29 to 507 of the family's 1533-position model. The record is from RNAcentral.
AACGAACGCUGGCGGCAUGCCUAACACAUGCAAGUCGAACGAGACCUUCGGGUCUAGUGGCGCACGGGUGCGUAACGCGUGGGAACCUGCCCUUAGGUUCGGAAUAACUCCCCGAAAGGGGUGCUAAUACCGGAUCAUGUCUUCGGACCAAAGAUUUAUCGCCUUUGGAUGGGCCCGCGUUGGAUUAGGUAGUUGUUAGGGUAAAAGCCUACCAAGGCGACGAUCCAUAGCUGGUCUGAGAGGAUGAUCAGCCACACUGGGACUGAGACACGGCCCAGACUCCUACGGGAGGCAGCAGUGGGGAAUAUUGGACAAUGGGCGAAAGCCUGAUCCAGCAAUGCCGCGUGAGUGAUGAAGGCCUUAGGGUUGUAAAGCUCUUUUACCCGGGAUGAUAAUGACAGUACCGGGAGAAUAAGCUCCAGCUAACUCCGUG